This 216-nucleotide unclassified non-coding RNA is filed under the name Hevea brasiliensis (rubber tree). The record is from RNAcentral. Lineage: Eukaryota; Viridiplantae; Streptophyta; Magnoliopsida; Malpighiales; Euphorbiaceae.
GUGGGUGAAUUUGAUCAUGGACACACUUGUUGCUCUGGCUCUGGCUACAGAACAACCAACCAAAGAGCUCAUGGAUAAACCGCCCGUGGGCAGAACUGAGCCACUUAUCACCAANCAUUAUGUGGAGGAAUCUAUUGGCACAAGCCUUUUAUCAGAUAGUUGUUCUCUUGACACUUCAAUUCAAAGGCGAAUCCAUUUUUGGAGUGGCAGAGAGGG